CUUCCUUGUGCUUAGGGGAAGGAGAAGAAAAAGAAAAAAACAUCUCACUUAAUGAAACGAAGACUCUGCAGUGUUUUUUUAAAGCUUUAUAAUUUCAGUGAAAUUGUUGGAACAUCCAAAACAUUUCAUUAAAAGGAAAAAAAAAAAUCUACCUGUAAACAUACAUCUAUCACCAAAAACAGAAACUUACCCAAGACUUGGGUGAAAUUAAAGGAACUAGUCCUUGGUUGGAAGAGAAUUCCAGGCUCCAUGUAUUUCAAUUGCACAAUGAAGAUCGUGCAUUAAAUGGAGCAAACAGCAAGACCAGUUAGCUUUGGGAGAGAACGAGUGACACUUAAGCAACAGUAAACUUAGCCUUUAGGUGUGCCUUUAUCUUUAGAUGGAAAGAUAAUUUAUAAGAAUAAAGGAAAAUGUCAGAAGUAAUUAAGAUGAUAUUAACAUUUAUGGGCUUCCCUGGUAGCUCAGUUGGAAAAGAAUCCACCUGCAAUGCAGGAGACCCUGGUUUGAUUCCUGGGUCGGGAAGAUCCACUGGAGAGGUGAUAGGCUACCCACUCCAAUAUUCUUGGGCUUUCCUGGUGGCUCAACUAGUAAAAAACCUGCCUGCAAUGCAGGAGACCUGGGUUCGAUCCUGGUUGGGAAGACACUGGAGAAGGGAAAGGCUACCCACUCCAGUAUUCUGGCCUGGAGAAUUCCAUGGACUAUAUAGUCCAUGGGGUUGCAAGCAGUCAGAAAGUCAGCAACUUUCACUUUAUAAUUUUAUACUCAGGACUGUGCUGGGCACCAAAGAUAGUAAAUGAGGAAUUUCCCAUUGGUUGAAGACACUACUCUUAAAAGCAUGAACUAGUGUAGUGGCUGCUUAAGAGCCAAUGUAUAGUAAUAGUGGCUGCUUAAGAGCCAAGACUUCCCUGGUGGCUUAGAUGGUAAAGUGUCUGCCUGCAAUGGGGGAGACCCGGGUUCGAUCCCUGGGUUGGGAAGAUCUCCUGGAGAAGGAAAUGGCAACCCAUUCCAGUAUUCUUGCCUGAAGAAUCCCACGGAUGGAGGAGCCUGGUAGGCUACAGUCCAUGGGGUCGCAAAGAGUCGGACACGACUGAGUGACUUCACCUUCACUUUCUUUCAAGAGCCAAUAUAAGUGGUGAAGGCAAGAUCAGAGGAAGGCCUGGAAGCAUCAUAAAGAUUUCACAGGGGAGGUGGGAGUCCAACAGAACCUUUAAAGAUCACAGGAUUUGAAGAUGAGAAAGAGGAAGAGCAUUAGAGGAAAUUGGAAGCCACUGGAUAAUAGUAUAUGGCACUAACAAGAUGAAAGCAGAAUUGUAGGAAGACCCAUCUGAUAACAGGAGCCAAGACCUAAGUUUUAGAGAUACCUUCUGAUGGCUGCAUAAUUCCAUUAAUACACCUAACUGUUGAGUUUAUCAAAGGAAACAGAACCAGGAGGCAAAAACCAGGAAAAGGAACAUAGAUGGAAGAAAAAAGAAUCUCAACAACUGAGUAUAGUCAUAACUCUUGACAAGAAAAAGCCUCCUUGGAUCCAUCCCUCCUUUGACAGCUGAGGCCCAGACGUGAGAUGACAAAAGGCAUUUCUUAACAUCUCGUGGCACAACCAAGUCAAAGCCAGAAGGUUUGAAUGGCUUUUCUCAAGGCAAGAGCAAUGUUUCCUGACCUCGCCAGUCACAGAAACUGUCCCAGACCCUCAUUUAAAUAUACAGAAGGUCAAGAGAUUUGGAUUCAGGUCUAUGUUGGUAGAGGAUGGGAGCGGGUAUCUGAGAGUAAAGUCAGUUAUCCUUAAAUUCUGGCAGUUUGGGGUAUCACUGUACUGGCAAGUAACAAAGAGAAAUAAACACAGUAGCAUAAACCCCCAUGGUUCAGCUCACAAGAAAAGGCUUACUCAUAACCAGGCUGGGGAUCCUCACCCUGCCUCUGUGGUCUGAUGCUAUCUUGGCACAUGCUGGCUUAAUCUCCAGCCCAAUCUGGGCACAACAGAGGGAGGUCCGUUGCCAAAAUUAUAAAGUGGCAGGAGAGGAGGGAAACGGGGCUGCUUCUCUUCUUAAUCUGUUUGGAAUUGACUUUUAGUUCCUAACCAGCACACCAAUCCAGACAAGGCCCGUCCUUGCCUCCCUUGGGUUUCCCUGGUUGCUCAGCAGGUAAAGAAUCUGCCUGCAGUGCAGGAGACCCAGAUUUGAUCCCUGGGUUGGGAAGAUCCCCUGG
This is a long non-coding RNA of Dama dama (fallow deer), 2202 nucleotides long. RefSeq lists it as uncharacterized. The transcript has 4 exons. The record is from RefSeq and is a predicted model, not a curated record. NCBI's taxonomy places the organism in Eukaryota, Metazoa, Chordata, Mammalia, Artiodactyla, Cervidae.